CCCACUACAUGCCACCCCUCGCCUCUCUGAAAAGCAUAUUUAAGAAUAAUUACAAUAUACUCUUACUUUAGAAUUAUCACAAUCUUCACUUACAUCAAAAAGAAAAAGAAUUCCCCACUCCAAAAUAAACAUAACAUCAUCACUACACCGACAAGGUGGACAAUUUACACACACACUACCCCUCGUCCCUUCACCACACUAAUAUCUAACAGUUACUGCUUUUCUUCU
Oxyura jamaicensis (ruddy duck) is the source of this 228-nucleotide long non-coding RNA. RefSeq lists it as uncharacterized. Lineage: Eukaryota; Metazoa; Chordata; Aves; Anseriformes; Anatidae. The transcript has 4 exons. The record is from RefSeq and is a predicted model, not a curated record.